RNAcentral lists this ribosomal RNA (375 nucleotides) under uncultured organism. RNAcentral's name for it is "partial 16S ribosomal RNA". It matches the Rfam family "Bacterial small subunit ribosomal RNA", at positions 527 to 896 of the family's 1533-position model. The record is from RNAcentral.
GUAGGUGGCAAGCGUUGUCCGGAAUUAUUGGGCGUAAAGCGCGCGCAGGCGGUCCUUUAAGUCUGAUGUGAAAGCCCACGGCUCAACCGUGGAGGGUCAUUGGAAACUGGGGGACUUGAGUACAGAAGAGGAAAGCGGAAUUCCAAGUGUAGCGGUGAAAUGCGUAGAGAUUUGGAGGAACACCAGUGGCGAAGGCGGCUUUCUGGUCUGUAACUGACGCUGAGGCGCGAAAGCGUGGGGAGCAAACAGGGAUUAGAUACCCUGGUAGUCCACGCCGUAAACGAUGAGUGCUAAGUGUUAGGGGGUUUCCCGCCCCCUUAGUGCUGCAGCUAACGCAUUAAGCACUCCGCCUGGGGAGUACGGCCCGCAAGGCUG